CUAGAAAGUAUUAACUAAGGGACUUACUGUUAGGUAUGUUCUAGGACUAAUAUGAUAUUGAGGGAAACCAGUUCACUUUUCUCAGCUAUGCUUCUACUACAGACAGGUGGAACAUCUACAAAUAUGUAAUACUAAAAAAUUCAUAUCCAAGCUCAAAACUAGGAAAGGGUUGUCCUUAUAUCCUAAAAAUGAAGGUGGAACUUAAAUCUAGAAAAAUAAUCUAGAAAAAUAAGCUUUAGCUUCCUAUGCAGGAACACUCGCACCAACACAUACACAGUGACACACAGAGGCACACACAGGCAGACACACACAGUCAUACACACAGACACACACUGAGACACACCCACAGGCACAUACAGGCAUACACACAAACACACACACAGGCACACCGGCAUGCACAGGCACACACACACACAGGCACACACACUGACACACACAGGCACACACAGGCAUACACACACACACAUAGACACACAGGAAUACACAGGCACACACAGGCAUACACACAGACACACACACACACUCACACAGGCAUACACAGGCAUACACACAGACACACACAGGCAUACACACAGACACACAUAUACACAGGCACACACAGGAACACACAGACACAUGCAUAGCAGGACACAUGCAUACACACGAGAAUGCUGGGGCACACACACAGUCAUUGUUAUGGGUGGAAAGGGGGACAAUGGAUAUUUAUUAGAAAAGAAGAUUUAUUAGAAAAGAAGAUGGAUAGAGAAGUAGGUAGUAUAUUUAAAUUGAUAAUUUAUAACGGGAAAAUAGAUGCCCAAAAUUGAAGACAAUUUUAUCAUACAAAAUCUUGAGUAGAAUCAGAAACAAGCUUUAUUUGUUAUAGACACAGUAUAGUGAAUUUUCUUAGCAUCAAAUGCCACAGAAUUUUCAAUACCAUCAGAGAGAAAAUAAAUAUUCCCAAAAUCAUAAGAUAAUAUAUUGCAUCAGACUGUCAUUAGCAAUGAGAGAUGCCAGUAGACAGUGCUUUUUAUGUGUUGAAAUUGGUGGAGGAGAAUAAUUAUAAAACUAAAAUUCUAUAUGAACCAGAUUCAUGACAAAAGGUGAAAUAAAGGUACUUUAGAGGAGACUGAAUUUACUUU
This 1118-nucleotide long non-coding RNA is filed under the name Pongo abelii (Sumatran orangutan). RNAcentral's name for it is "lincRNA". The record is from RNAcentral. Lineage: Eukaryota; Metazoa; Chordata; Mammalia; Primates; Hominidae.